ACGUAGGGUGCAAGCAUUGUCCGGAUUUAUUGGGCGUAAAGAGCUCGUAGGCGGCUUGUCACGUCGGGUGUGAAAACUCGGGGCUCAACCCCGAGCCUGCACUCGAUACGGGCUAGCUAGAGUGUUGCAGGGGAGACUGGAAUUCCUGGUGUAGCGGUGAAAUGCGCAGAUAUCAGGAGGAACACCGGUGGCGAAGGCGGGUCUCUGGGCAACUACUGACGCUGAGGAGCGAAAGCGUGGGGAGCGAACAGGAUUAGAUACCCUGGUAGUCCACGCCGUAAACGUUGGGCGCUAGGUGUGGGGAACCUUCCACGUUCUCCGUGCCGUAGCUAACGCAUUAAGCGCCCCGCCUGGGGAGUACGGCCGCAAGGCUA
This 374-nucleotide ribosomal RNA is filed under the name uncultured bacterium. RNAcentral's name for it is "bacterial SSU rRNA". It matches the Rfam family "Bacterial small subunit ribosomal RNA", at positions 525 to 896 of the family's 1533-position model. The record is from RNAcentral.